ACACAGGUCAAUGCAGCAAAAAACAAGACCGGAGCUGCUCCCAUCAUUGAUGAUGUAUGAUCAGGUUACUACAGAGUUCUGGGGAAGGGGACGCUCCCUAAGCAACCCGUCAUCGCCAAGGCCAAAUUCUUCAGCAGAAGAGCUGAGGAGAAGAUUAAGGGUGUUGGAGGUGCCUGUGUUCUGGUGACUUAAAGCUACUUCAGAGGUUAAUUAAAUGCUAACAUUAAAUAAAAGAAAAAAGAGAAAAGAAAA
Molecule: long non-coding RNA, 252 nt
Filed under: Rattus norvegicus (Norway rat)
Lineage: Eukaryota; Metazoa; Chordata; Mammalia; Rodentia; Muridae
Description: long non-coding RNA NONRATT028799
Source: RNAcentral